RNAcentral lists this unclassified non-coding RNA (208 nucleotides) under Hevea brasiliensis (rubber tree). Lineage: Eukaryota; Viridiplantae; Streptophyta; Magnoliopsida; Malpighiales; Euphorbiaceae. The record is from RNAcentral.
UAUGUACUAGGUUUCUUGCAUGUAGGUGCCAAUCUUCUCUUAGGCCAAGAUCACAGGUGGUGCUUUUUGUAGAAAAAUCACUAACCUCUUCUACGCUGUGGGGAUCUACUAUUUUUGCUAAUGGUAUCUUUUGGGGUUUAUAGCCGGCCUAAGUCCUCUUUCGGCUGACCUUCGGUUUAGUUACCAGAAAGCUCUGCAUCAACCCUCG